AGAGUUUGAUCCUGGCUCAGGACGAACGCUGGCGGCGUGCCUAAUACAUGCAAGUAGAACGCUGAAGAGAGGAGCUUGCUCUUCUUGGAUGAGUUGCGAACGGGUGAGUAACGCGUAGGUAACCUGCCUUGUAGCGGGGGAUAACUAUUGGAAACGAUAGCUAAUACCGCAUAACAAUGGAUGACCCAUGUCAUUUAUUUGAAAGGGGCAAAUGCUCCACUACAAGAUGGACCUGCGUUGUAUUAGCUAGUAGGUGAGGUAACGGCUCACCUAGGCGACGAUACAUAGCCGACCUGAGAGGGUGAUCGGCCACACUGGGACUGAGACACGGCCCAGACUCCUACGGGAGGCAGCAGUAGGGAAUCUUCGGCAAUGGGGGCAACCCUGACCGAGCAACGCCGCGUGAGUGAAGAAGGUUUUCGGAUCGUAAAGCUCUGUUGUAAGUCAAGAACGAGUGUGAGAGUGGAAAGUUCACACUGUGACGGUAGCUUACCAGAAAGGGACGGCUAACUACGUGCCAGCAGCCGCGGUAAUACGUAGGUCCCGAGCGUUGUCCGGAUUUAUUGGGCGUAAAGCGAGCGCAGGCGGUUUGAUAAGUCUGAAGUUAAAGGCUGUGGCUCAACCAUAGUUCGCUUUGGAAACUGUCAAACUUGAGUGCAGAAGGGGAGAGUGGAAUUCCAUGUGUAGCGGUGAAAUGCGUAGAUAUAUGGAGGAACACCGGUGGCGAAAGCGGCUCUCUGGUCUGUAACUGACGCUGAGGCUCGAAAGCGUGGGGAGCGAACAGGAUUAGAUACCCUGGUAGUCCACGCCGUAAACGAUGAGUGCUAGGUGUUGGAUCCUUUCCGGGAUUCAGUGCCGCAGCUAACGCAUUAAGCACUCCGCCUGGGGAGUACGACCGCAAGGUUGAAACUCAAAGGAAUUGACGGGGGCCCGCACAAGCGGUGGAGCAUGUGGUUUAAUUCGAAGCAACGCGAAGAACCUUACCAGGUCUUGACAUCCCGAUGCUAUUUCUAGAGAUAGAAAGUUACUUCGGUACAUCGGUGACAGGUGGUGCAUGGUUGUCGUCAGCUCGUGUCGUGAGAUGUUGGGUUAAGUCCCGCAACGAGCGCAACCCCUAUUGUUAGUUGCCAUCAUUCAGUUGGGCACUCUAGCGAGACUGCCGGUAAUAAACCGGAGGAAGGUGGGGAUGACGUCAAAUCAUCAUGCCCCUUAUGACCUGGGCUACACACGUGCUACAAUGGUUGGUACAACGAGUUGCGAGUCGGUGACGGCAAGCUAAUCUCUUAAAGCCAAUCUCAGUUCGGAUUGUAGGCUGCAACUCGCCUACAUGAAGUCGGAAUCGCUAGUAAUCGCGGAUCAGCACGCCGCGGUGAAUACGUUCCCGGGCCUUGUACACACCGCCCGUCACACCACGAGAGUUUGUAACACCCGAAGUCGGUGAGGUAACCUUUUGGAGCCAGCCGCCUAAGGUGGGAUAGAUGAUUGGGGUGAAGUCAUAACAAGGUA
Molecule: ribosomal RNA, 1506 nt
Filed under: metagenome
Description: bacterial SSU rRNA
Rfam family: Bacterial small subunit ribosomal RNA
Source: RNAcentral